This 459-nucleotide ribosomal RNA is filed under the name uncultured bacterium. Its description in RNAcentral is "partial 16S ribosomal RNA". It matches the Rfam family "Bacterial small subunit ribosomal RNA", at positions 338 to 795 of the family's 1533-position model. The record is from RNAcentral.
CCUACGGGUGGCAGCAGUGAGGAAUAUUGGUCAAUGGGCGAGAUCCUGAACCAGCCAAGCCGCGUGAGGGAAGACGGCCCUAUGGGUUGUAAACAUCUUUUGUCGGAGAACAAAACCCGGGACGUGUCCCAGUCUGCGUGUAUCCGAAGAAACAGCAUCGGCUAACUCCGUGCCAGCAGCGGCGGUACGACGGGGGAUGCGAGCGUUAUCCGGAUUUGUUGGGUUUAAAGGGUGCGUAGGCGGUCCGUUAAGUCAGCGGUAAAAUUGCGGGGCUCAACCCCGUCGAGCCGUUGAAACUGGCAGACUUGAGUUGGCGAGAAGUACGCGGAAUGCGCGGGGUAGCGGUGAAAUGCAUAGAUAUCGCGCAGAACUCCGAUUGCGAAGGCAGCGUACCGGCGCCAGACUGACGCUGAGGCACGAAAGCGUGGGGAUCGAACAGGAUUAGAUACCCUUGUAGUC